RNAcentral lists this ribosomal RNA (488 nucleotides) under uncultured bacterium. RNAcentral describes it as "bacterial SSU rRNA". It matches the Rfam family "Bacterial small subunit ribosomal RNA", at positions 30 to 507 of the family's 1533-position model. The record is from RNAcentral.
AUUGAACGCUGGCGGUAGGCGUUAAACACAUGCAAAGUCGUGCGAGAAAGGUAUCUUCGGAUAUGAGUAGAGCGGCGGACGGGUGAGUAACGCGUAGGAAUCUACCUAGUAGAAGGGGAUAGCCCGGGGAAACUCGGAUUAAUACCGUAUACCUCCUUCGGGAGAAAGAAGGCCUCUCAUUGAAGCUUUCGCUACUAGAUGAGCCUGCGUAAGAUUAGCUUGUUGGUGAGGUAAAGGCUCACCAAGGCGACGAUCUUUAGCGGGUCUGAGAGGACGAUCCGCCACAUUGGGACUGAGACACGGCCCAGACUCCUACGGGAGGCAGCAGUGGGGAAUAUUGGACAAUGGGCGCAAGCCUGAUCCAGCCAUACCGCGUGUGUGAAGAAGGCCCUAGGGUUGUAAAGCACUUUAAGUUGGGAAGAAAAGUUAUUAGUUAAUACCUAAUAGCCGUGACAUUACCAUCAGAAUAAGGACCGGCUAAUUCCGUG